Molecule: microRNA precursor, 95 nt
Filed under: Nicotiana sylvestris (wood tobacco)
Lineage: Eukaryota; Viridiplantae; Streptophyta; Magnoliopsida; Solanales; Solanaceae
Description: MIR6152 microRNA precursor family
Rfam family: MIR6152 microRNA precursor family
Source: Rfam by way of RNAcentral
UGGACAGAUUAUUGUAUUCGACUGUAUUCACGGCGUGAUAGGGGAUUACACUGUUUUUAAAACGGAAAGUGAAUCAAUUAACAUAAUAGACUCCU